UUGGUCCUCACCAUUACCCCUUCAUACCCAUCUACUACCCCUUACCUACCCCAGGGCCUAGCCCAGUCAUGGCUAGUCCUCCCCAGACUCUCCCUUCAGGUCCUCAGGACCCUACAAUGCCCACAGUCUACCCACCCCACCACUACCCUCAGCCAGUCACCUGCUCUCCCUCUGCCCAUACCAUCUGUAGCUAUGACCCAUAUCCCGUGGAUGUGCCACACUACCAGCCACACCAUCCAUAUCCUCUCUACCUGACGCCCAGCCCCUCUCUGACCACCCCGGCCCUUCCUUCCACGGGUACAGCUCUGCCUGGUGCUACUCAACCACCCCAGACCUCACCAACCACCCCCUCACCCUCCUCCAGGACCAUAUCUACCACUACUACUCUCACUCCUUGGAUGUCCAUCCUCACCCCUACUCUCCCCCCUCAGCCCUCCCUCUCUCCUGGGCUCUCCCCUCGGCCAUCCCUCCGCUGUCUAGCAGGACAGAUGAUGGUGUCGCUGCCCUCUGCUCUCCUGGACUCCAUCCAGGUCAAAGAUCAGCUGAAUGGCUGGGUGUCUAUCUCCAGUGCCCCGGCGGCUUGUAGAUACAUCCUGCAGAUGAGUAAGGGUGGUGGAGUGAUCCUCCAUUCCCCUCUCCCUGCCUGCCACAGCCAGGCUAUGGCCCUCAACCCACACCAGCUCUCCCUCCCCCUGAAGUUUUGGGACACAGUCCUGGGGCAAUACAGAACUCUGGAGCUCCAUUGCCCGUCAACUGUGACCCCAUCACCCCACACCACUACCACGACCCACACCAGGCCUCCCACUCCCCCUAAGCCACACGUCUUCUGCUCUGCUCGCCACAUGAGGGUGGAGCUUCCCCCAGGUCCCAUAUCUGGAAUCGUUGUCAAGGACAUCGAAGGGAAUGAGAUGAGCCUGAUGGAUGCCCCAAAGCAUUGUGGGUAUGUGGCAAGCAAGGGCAAGGAUGGCAUGAUCACCCUGAACCGCCCCUUCAACUCCUGUCACAUGACUGUCCAGGGUAAAGAGCACCGCAUGGAUGUGAUUUACUCCACGUUGAACGGACAAAAAGGGAAGGCCCAGUUGUCCUGUCCAGUUUCCAUACCAGUUUCUCAUCAAGAGUGUAACCUUCCCAGUGACCAGCGCCUCCCCUGCGGCCGCCGCCCUCUAUCCCAGGCAGAGUGUCUCUCUCUGGGCUGCUGCUACAGCACCAAGCCCUCUGCCUGCUACUACUCCAUGGAUGAAUGCACAUUGGACCGCCACUUUGUCUUUUCGGUGCCCGCCUCCCUCACGGACCCCCCCUCUGUCCCCCGCCUUGCUCACUGCAGCUGGCAACCCCACCUGCGCCCCUCAGAGGGUGACUGCAGACUACGCCCUGUUCAAGAUCCCACUGGGUGGCUGCGGGGCCCACAGAUACGCGAGUGGCCCCUAAUUAUCUUCUUGAGGUAGGCCAAACGGUAAUCUACAUGGUGGAGAUCAUCAACACGGUCCAGUCAAUCACCCUCGACUAUGGGACCAUCACCAGAGACUCUCCUAUCAGACGUGCAGUACAGUAGCUUCUACCCCCAGUACCACCGGCCCCUGCAGAUGCUCUUGGGUAAACCCUUACACCUUGAGGUGCGUCUGCUCAACCCCCCCCAGAUGACAAAGUGGUCCUGCUGGUACACUACUGCGUGGCCUACCCCAGAUCAGGACAGACUGUCUGGGUACUCCUCUAUAAUGGAUGUCCUAACCAUCUGGACCCGGCCUCUCAGAAGUCUCACCCAUCUCCUCCACCCCCACCCCUUCCACCAAGGCCAGAUAUGAAGGUUCACCAUCUCCACCUUCCAGUUCCUCACCUCUGGACAGACCCAGACAUUGGAGGACCAUGAAGAGAUCUACUUCAUGUGUUCUACUGAAGAGUGUUCGCCGCUGGACGGCAGCCUGUGUGUAGAGGGAUGCUUUGGCCAGUGACUAGAAAAGAUGGACAGAAAGCAAUAGUCAUGGAAGAUUAACUGGCCCAAGGCUGCUCGUUCACUACUAAUAAAACCCCUUAAAAGGAGACUGUGUGUUUCUUGCUCCCAGGCAGUCUAGUCUAGUUUGGAUGGCAUGAAGCUGACUCCACGAGUGUUGUACUCAGUUGUUUAUGUUCACACUGACUCCGCCUAUGGAGGUUCUAGACAACGGCAUGAAUCAACAUUCUGGAUAUCCAAUAUUGCUCCAUACAUUGUUUUGAAUAUAGGUUAGUAUUUAGAUAAGUUAGCAGACCUCUUCCAUAUUGCACAUACAUACAUGCAUACAUAAUAUCAGCCUAUAGUCAUUAAUUC
Molecule: long non-coding RNA, 2302 nt
Filed under: Salmo salar (Atlantic salmon)
Lineage: Eukaryota; Metazoa; Chordata; Actinopteri; Salmoniformes; Salmonidae
Description: lncRNA (ENSSSAG00000115975.1)
Source: RNAcentral